RNAcentral lists this non-coding RNA (20 nucleotides) under Arabidopsis thaliana (thale cress). The record is from RNAcentral. Lineage: Eukaryota; Viridiplantae; Streptophyta; Magnoliopsida; Brassicales; Brassicaceae.
GUGGACGUGCCGGAGUGGUU